This 356-nucleotide unclassified non-coding RNA is filed under the name Rhipicephalus microplus (southern cattle tick). Its description in RNAcentral is "uncharacterized LOC119176365, transcript variant X1". Lineage: Eukaryota; Metazoa; Arthropoda; Arachnida; Ixodida; Ixodidae. The record is from RNAcentral.
CCUGCCUGCCGAGGGACGGAACGAGGCAGGCUGCGUUGUUGCCUUCUGCGUGUGCGCGGCGAACGUGUUUGCGCCUUCACUCAGCGUCCGGUCCUCCCUGGAAUGCUUGCGCCGGAGACUGUACGCGUUUUGCUGCCACCUGCAUGCCUGCCCAGGAAAACGUGGCGAGCGUUCUCGUCAUCAUCACCACAGGAGCAAACCUGCAGGGAUUGAAGACAUUGCUGUGCUCCCCACCUGAGCGUGGGAAUGCCGCCUGCGGAAACGUUUUAAAGUGCGGCGAUGGCUGGCUUCACGACGAGCUGAAGUGCGGCCAACAGGCGCGGCCAUCAGCGGGCCGGCGAUGGCGCCGGGCAAAC